CCCCCCCUUCUCCCACGUUUCUGCCACUACCGCCAAUCUCACCGCCGCCGGCCUCAGUACCACCACCCGCCGCCGCCUCCUCUCUCUCCUCUCUCUCUCUCUCUCUCUCUCUCUCUCUCUCUCUCGUCGCCGUACCGCCGCCACCACCGCUGCGGAUCCGUCUCAUCCACCGUCGCCGAGGCCCUCCCCAGCCGCCGUGCGUGUCGCUGCCGCCGCUGUGCAUGCACAAGCGGCGGCUCCGGCACCUCCCCCCUAUGCCGUUGCUUCACCACCGCCAGCCUCCCCCACACUCUGCGACCACUGACUCCACUCUCCGACAACACCACAACCGCCAUCCACCUCCUCCAGUUGGGAGGGACUCGGUUCAAGCUCGGCUGUCCGUGUUAAAGUAUCCGAUUUUUCGUAGGAUGUAUAAAAUUAAAUUUCAGAUUUGUUGUCAACAUUGUUGAUCAUACAAGCAAUGUUUCCCUUUUGUUGUGGGAUAGAGAAGUUGUGCAGCUUACGGGGAAAAAGGUUACUGAUGUGAAUGGAAGUACUAUUGAGGUAUAUUUAUAAUAACUGGUAUUCAAUUUAUUUGCUGGGUUAGUUUUGAUUUGAUUGUUGUUGUUGUAGAAAUCUCCAAUGGAUUAUAUUCCUAGGGAAGUUGAAGAGUAGCUUGUGGGUCAAAAUGUGUUGUUCAAAGUUCAACUCAUAAAUAGCAAGGAGUAUUAUCAUAAUUAUCCAGAUACUGUUAUCAAAGUGUGUAAUAUCCUAGAAAUUGUUGAGAAGUGUGUUAAACAGAACAUUGAAUCACAAAUUCUAAACUCUGAUGUGAAGUUGUCUGAUAUACUAUUUGGAUCCAAUAUUGCAGAGGUAACUUGAACAAUAGUUGAGAACUACGUGUCACUUAUAUUGAAUUGAUUUAGAAUUGAAUAGACAUUUAACUUCUUUUGAGGUUACUGAUAAAGGUUUGUAUCACCUGAUCUAUCUGUUGUAACUAAAGAGAAUGUCAAUGAAUGGAUUGCUGAAGGCAGUGUGAAGCAAUGCCUGGAUUCUGAAUUUGAUAAUUGCGAUGAUGUUUGUGUUAGUUAGAUCAAGAAGAAGAAGAAAGAGAAUGUGAUUGAAGAGGAUGAUGAUGAUCUUAUUAGCAACAGUCAGGAGAUAGCUCUUGGUGAUUAGACUGUGGACAUUAUUUGGAGUUUUUCAGUUUUCCAAUCUCAUUUUUUUUCUUUUUUGAACUGAUCAGAAUGUUUAUAUUAGUUUGGUCUGGGAUUUGGUUGAUGGAUUAUGUUACUUAAGUUAAUUGUUAUGGAGUUGUUGUUUUGGAAUUACAGGUUUGGGUUUUUGGGAAGACUUCUAAGAUGAAUCUUUGCUAAUGCCUUGGUUAUUUAAUGAAGGUUCUGUUUUGAGCUAUUUUUAGUUA
Molecule: RNA transcript, 1402 nt
Organism: Salvia splendens (bonfire salvia)
Lineage: Eukaryota; Viridiplantae; Streptophyta; Magnoliopsida; Lamiales; Lamiaceae
Exons: 3
Source: RefSeq, a predicted model, not a curated record